CCUACGGGAGGCAGCAGUGAGGAAUAUUGGUCAAUGGGAGGAAUCCUGAACCAGCCAUGCCGCGUGCAGGACGACGGCUCUACGAGUUGUAAACUGCUUUUGUACCGGGGUAAAAUGCUCUACGAGUAGGGUUUUGAAAGUACGGUACGAAUAAGGAUCGGCUAACUCCGUGCCAGCAGCCGCGGUAAUACGGAGGAUCCGAGCGUUAUCCGGAUUUAUUGGGUUUAAAGGGUGCGUAGGUGGUUUUAUAAGUUAGCGGUGAAAUACCGAUGCUCAACAUCGGGGCUGCCGCUAAUACUGUAGGACUAGAGAGCGGAUGCAGCAGGCGGAAUGUGUAGGGUAGCGGUGAAAUGCAUAGAUAUUACACAGAACACCGAUUGCGAAGGCAGCUUGCUAGGCCGGAUCUGACACUGAUGCACGAAAGCGUGGGGAUCGAACAGGAUUAGAUACCCGUGUAGUC
This 460-nucleotide ribosomal RNA is filed under the name uncultured bacterium. RNAcentral's name for it is "partial 16S ribosomal RNA". It matches the Rfam family "Bacterial small subunit ribosomal RNA", at positions 338 to 795 of the family's 1533-position model. The record is from RNAcentral.